AAUUCCUAUUUUCUUAAAUCCAAUCCUAAACCAUAUCCAAAUUCAUUUUUAUAACCAUAAUCCAUUUUUAAAUCCAACCCAUAAUUCAUUAUCCAAUUUUUUACCCAUUUAAAAAACCAUUUAUCCAAUUUUAAUCCAUUUCCAUUUAAAUCCAUUCAUAAUCCAAGUUCAUUAUCCAUUUUACAAUAUCCAAUUCACACAAAACCAGUUAUUUCAUCCAAUUUCAAUUUUAAUCCAUUUUCUCUUUUAUCCAUUUAUGCUAACCACAUCCAAAGACAAGUGAAAAGUUGCUAACUGAAUUGUGACGAAAUGCAGAAGGAGAAAGCAAAACCAAGCUGAAACGCGAAUGAGCCAGUUGCAAUACAAGCCAACUGCGGAAACACAUCAAAAAUUCUGCAUAAAAACUCUGCAUAAAACACAUCAAAAAUUCUGCAUUACAUGACCAAAAUUCUGCACAAAAACUCUGCAUAAAACACACAAAAAUUCUGCAUAAAAAUUCUGCAACAACACACAAAAACUCUGCAUAAAAUACAGCAAAAAUUCUGCAUUCCAAAACCAAAAUUCUGCAUAAAAUACAGCAAAAAUUCUGCAUUUAAAUACCACCAAAAACCUGCACUUGGCCUCAUACCAUCAUCAUGA
Molecule: long non-coding RNA, 639 nt
Filed under: Lathyrus oleraceus (garden pea)
Lineage: Eukaryota; Viridiplantae; Streptophyta; Magnoliopsida; Fabales; Fabaceae
Description: Pisum sativum (pea) long non-coding RNA (PSAT_LNC037494)
Source: RNAcentral